Molecule: microRNA precursor, 65 nt
Filed under: Oreochromis niloticus (Nile tilapia)
Lineage: Eukaryota; Metazoa; Chordata; Actinopteri; Cichliformes; Cichlidae
Description: microRNA oni-mir-10727 precursor
Source: miRBase by way of RNAcentral
UUGGAAAUCUCUGAAUCCCUGCAUUAGCCCCGUGACAGGCUGCAAGGAGUCAGAGAUUUCCAACU